CCGUCCACCGAACGGUCGGCAGGCGAUCCGCCUCGGUCUCGCGAGGUGGUAUGGUUCCCCNGAGGCCGGUUCUUGUGCUGCCUACCCGUUCGNGGGAAGCUGGCCACUUGAUGUAAGCCUCCAUCCGGCGCCNUCCAACGGGCGCAGGAGGACAACGGAGCACCCCCCGCGUUCCACCGAUCCAUCUCGGUCGCGUGGCCCGUGGGGACGUGCGAUGCUCUCGGACCCAGCGAACGCCGUGGGCGAGGACUCACGUCCCAGUCCCGAAAAGAAGCUUCGNCNUAAUGCUGACGGCCGCUCCCGCCCCCCGACCGCCCCGGCGGCGCGGGGGCGAGGCGCGGCGUCGCGGAGGAAUGCUACCU
This 362-nucleotide unclassified non-coding RNA is filed under the name Acacia amyctica. Its description in RNAcentral is "partial external transcribed spacer". The record is from RNAcentral. Lineage: Eukaryota; Viridiplantae; Streptophyta; Magnoliopsida; Fabales; Fabaceae.